UUGCGUCUAGUGAUAGCAACUAAUACUAACGAUGAUUUGUUUCACAAGAUUAUACAGACAAAAUGGAUAGCCAAAAAUCUUCAAUGAAUCCACCAAAAAGAUCAAGAUGAUCAACACCUUCAACCCGAAGGACAUGGACUCCUCCAGAAGAGAGCUCUCUUAUAAACUGUUUGAAAGAGUUAUGUGUUAAUGGUUGGAGAGCCGAUAAUGGAACCUUUAGGCCAGGAUACCUGAUGGAGUUGGAGCACUAUUUGUGUGAACGUCAUCCUGAUAGUGGCUUGAAAGGUGAACCACAUGUCAAUUCUAAAUUAAAAGCGUGGAAGAAAAGUUAUGCAAGCAUAAGUUUACUAAAGAGUCGAAGUGGUUUGUGAUUUCAAUAUAGUGAUGGAACAAUACUUGUUGAUGAUCCAAAGGAAUGGGAUAAAUUGUUAAAGGAUGAUCCUGGUGCAAGAAAUAUUAACACUAAAAAAUGGCCAAUGUUUGCGGAUUGGGAUGAAAUUUUUGGCAAAGAUAGGGCAACUGGAGAGUAUGCAGAAGGGCCAUUGGAUUGAGGAUAUUUUAAAGAAUCAAACAUCAGAACUUUCUACUGAUAUGAGUUUGGGAUUUCUUAACGAUGUUGACGGAGAUGAAUAUGAAGACGAAGCUAGUCAUGGACCUAAUGCACCUACUGAAGAAGCUAAAAGUGCUUAUAUAGGACCUAAUUUUACCGGGGCAUCUGAAAAUGAAUAUGCUAGAGGAUCUCCUCAUGAACAUACUGGAGCAUCUGGAAAGCAAGGGUAGUAUGUUAAAAAAUCUUCUUCUAGUGUCAAUGAAAAAGAGAAAAGCAUAAAAAGAAAAAGAAUUGGGGAGGAUGUUAAUGAAACAUUUCUGGAGACUAUGGCGGAAGACAUGAAAAACUUUACCGAAAGUCAAGACAAAAUAAUUGGUUCCUUGAUUGAGAAGAUUGGAAAUCGUGACCACUCUGAUAUGCGUGGUCAAAUUUAUUCCAUUAUUGAAUCUCCCGCAUUCAAUUUGUACACCAUAGAACAACGUAUCAAAGCUAAAAGGUUAUCUGUGGUGAUGUCAAAAAUAUGGAAAUCUUUUUGCGAAUGGGUGAGCUUGAGCGCCAGAUAAUGAUGUUUAUGGUCGUCAAUGAUAAACUUUGAAGUACGAUAAACUUGUGUAUAUAAGUGGCGACACUAGUGUGAUAUUUUUUGCUCAACUAACAAUUUCAAAGUUUGACUGGGGUGCCAUUUUUUGAUCCUGGUUAUGUUUACACUCUUUUGUUUAUGACUAAUGGUCAUGAGUAUGCUAGAAUCUUUUGUAUGUCUAAAAUCUAUUAAAUAGAUCAACUCUCAUGUAAAAGUUAAAAGUUUAUUGUAAGUUUGUUGUUGGUUAUCA
Long non-coding RNA from Solanum dulcamara, 1380 nucleotides. RefSeq lists it as uncharacterized. The transcript is spliced from 2 exons. The record is from RefSeq and is a predicted model, not a curated record. NCBI's taxonomy places the organism in Eukaryota, Viridiplantae, Streptophyta, Magnoliopsida, Solanales, Solanaceae.